GGUAGUAAUAAGUAAUAAAACCACUAAAACUUGGCGGUUAUAAUAAAUUAAAGAAACUCGUUUUAUAAUCGACAAACCCCGAUAAGUUUUACUUAAUUCAUAUAGUAAAUUUAUAUACCGCCGUUUUCAGAAAUUACAAAAACAAAAUAUCAAAAUCAAUUUUUUUACAAAAAUCAGGUCAAGGUGUAAUUAUUAAUUAAGAAAAAAUAAGUUACACUUAAAGAAAAUUUAAGGAAUAAAACUUAAAACUUUUAAGAAAAAGAAUUUAUAAUUAAUUAUGAAUUAAUAAUUCAAAAAGAAAACACACAAUAUAAUGC
Molecule: ribosomal RNA, 317 nt
Filed under: Carapoia zumbii
Lineage: Eukaryota; Metazoa; Arthropoda; Arachnida; Araneae; Pholcidae
Description: partial 12S ribosomal RNA
Source: RNAcentral